CUAAAAACUGGUAUUUAUGUUCACUUUAACCAAAAACUUUCCUACACUGUCAUUUAAUGUUGACUUUCCUGCAACUUCCUUUUUUCCAGUUUGAUAAUUUCACUCUCUCCUGACUUCUAAGGCUCACCAAAAUAACCUCCCAGCACCAUGCUCACACUCUGAGAUGAGAAAAAGUGUUAGAAAAGUGCGGGUGGGAUGAAUGCUAAGAAGGUUCUAAUGAGAAUAUCUGUUUUCAAGUGGCUGUUUGCCUGAUACUGACAUUUUUUUAUUCUUAUUCUGUGUUAUCCUUCAGUCUUUGCUAUACAAAGCCUUUCUUGCUUUCUUCCUCUCCCAGGCUCCUGGCACAAAUGAGAGGAGCGAUUAAAUCCUUGAGCAGAAACAGUCAUAAAAUGUGGUGGAGAAAGGCUCCACAUCUGACAGAAGAUAGUUUCAUCUUCUUCUGAGGAAAGCUGAGGGACUGAAAUAUGGAAAUGCCACCAAGUAGGUGCCUGAAGGUGUCAAAUACACAUUCCUGAAAAUGUGGUACAUCGCGAUGCCGGUAAUACACACUGGUAAUACUCCUUUCUGCUUUUUGGAUGCUGUCCACUUCUGAGCAUCAGGGGGAGAUGAGAAUUUCAGAGAAAGCAAUGAAGAGAGGGAGGCAGGGAGGGAAAGUUUUCCCUACCCUCAGCAGCCAGAGUACGAAGUGAAGACCGUGGAGCGAGCAGGAGCCUUUACUGCGCUCACCUGACCUCAGCCCAGACCAGGGGAUGGAGGGUUCUGUGGCUGGGCAGAGGCAGGACAGCCCUGGAAAGGGCGUGGCCCUGAGUCAGCCCCCCAGGUUACCUUG
Molecule: non-coding RNA, 829 nt
Organism: Vicugna pacos (alpaca)
Lineage: Eukaryota; Metazoa; Chordata; Mammalia; Artiodactyla; Camelidae
Source: RefSeq, a predicted model, not a curated record